GAUGAACGCUGGCGGCGUGCCUAAUACAUGCAAGUCGAGCGAACAGACGAGGAGCUUGCUCUCUUACGGUUAGCGGCGGACGGGUGAGUAACACGUGGAUCAGAAACUUCUAUGACUGGGAUAAUUUCGUGAGAAAGCUGACAAUACUGGCUAAUAUAUCGAACGGGAUGAAUCAUUAGUGCAAGACGGUUUUGGCGAUUGAAAGAGCCGGUUCCGCGUCGCAUAAGCUAGUUGGUAAGGUACCGGCUUACCAAGGCGACGAUCCGUAGCUGAGCUGAGAGGAUGAUCGGCCACACUGGAACUGAGACACGGUCCAGACUCCUACGGGAGGCAGCAGUGGGGAAUAUUCCACAAUGGGCGAAAGCCUGAUGCAGCCAUACCGCGUGAGUGAUGAAGGUCUUCGGAUCGUAAACCUCUGUUGUUGGGGAAGAACAGCAGUGUGUGAAACUAUCGAUGUUUUGACGGUACCUAAUCAAAAAGCCCCGGCUAACUUCGUG
This 497-nucleotide ribosomal RNA is filed under the name uncultured bacterium. Its description in RNAcentral is "partial 16S ribosomal RNA". It matches the Rfam family "Bacterial small subunit ribosomal RNA", at positions 28 to 507 of the family's 1533-position model. The record is from RNAcentral.